UCAAUAGCGCAUAUUAAAGUUGUUGCAGUUAAAAAGCUCGUAGUUGAAUUUCGGGAUCAAUUAAUUGGUCGUGCCUCGGUACGUACUGGUAUUUUUGGUUUCUCCCUUCUGACGAACCUUGAUGUCAUUAAUUUUGGUGUCUUGGGAAAUCAGGACUGUUACUUUGAAAAAAUUAGAGUGUUUAAAGCAGGCUCACGCUUGAAUACAUUAGCAUGGAAUAAUGAAAUAGGACGUUUGAUUCUAUUUUGUUGGUUUCUAGGAUCGACGUAAUGAUUAAUAGGGAUAGUUGGGGGCAUUAGUAUUCAAUUGUCAGAGGUGAAAUUCUUGGAUUUAUUGAAGACUAACUACUGCGAAAGCAUUUGCCAAGGAUGUUUUCAUUAAUCAAGAACGAAAGUUAGGGGAUCGAAGACGAUCAGAUACCGUCGUAGUCUUAACCAUAAACUAUGCCGACUAGGGAUCGGAUGAUGUUAAUUUUUUAAUGACUCAUUCGGCGCCUUACG
Molecule: ribosomal RNA, 500 nt
Filed under: uncultured Glomeromycotina
Lineage: Eukaryota; Fungi; Glomeromycota
Description: partial small subunit ribosomal RNA
Rfam family: Eukaryotic small subunit ribosomal RNA
Source: RNAcentral